Molecule: non-coding RNA, 78 nt
Organism: Podarcis lilfordi (Lilford's wall lizard)
Lineage: Eukaryota; Metazoa; Chordata; Lepidosauria; Squamata; Lacertidae
Source: the annotation of a GenBank genome assembly
AGGGCCAUAGUUCAGAGGCAGAGCUCCUGCUUUGCAUGCAUGGAGAAAAGGUUCUAGGUUCAAUCCCCAGUGGCCUCU